Molecule: ribosomal RNA, 471 nt
Filed under: uncultured Actinomycetes bacterium
Lineage: Bacteria; Bacillati; Actinomycetota; Actinomycetes
Description: bacterial SSU rRNA
Rfam family: Bacterial small subunit ribosomal RNA
Source: RNAcentral
ACCUUACCAAGGCUUGACAUAUAGAGGAAACGUGCAGAGAUGUACGCCCCGCAAGGUCUCUAUACAGGUGGUGCAUGGUUGUCGUCAGCUCGUGUCGUGAGAUGUUGGGUUAAGUCCCGCAACGAGCGCAACCCUCGUCCUAUGUUGCCAGCACGUAAUGGUGGGAACUCAUGGGAGACUGCCGGGGUCAACUCGGAGGAAGGUGGGGAUGACGUCAAAUCAUCAUGCCCCUUAUGUCUUGGGCUUCACGCAUGCUACAAUGGCCGGUACAAAGGGUUGCGAUACCGCAAGGUGGAGCUAAUCCCAAAAAGCCGGUCUCAGUUCGGAUUAUGGUCUGCAACUCGACCCUAUGAAGUUGGAGUCGCUAGUAAUCGCAGAUCAGCAACGCUGCGGUGAAUACGUUCCCGGGCCUUGUACACACCGCCCGUCAAGUCAUGAAAGUCGGUAACACCCGAAACCGGUGGCCUAACC